This 2047-nucleotide long non-coding RNA is filed under the name Rhagoletis pomonella (apple maggot). RNAcentral's name for it is "uncharacterized LOC118733996". The record is from RNAcentral. Lineage: Eukaryota; Metazoa; Arthropoda; Insecta; Diptera; Tephritidae.
UGAAAAUGAUAUUGAGGUUAGGAUGAGUGGCAAUCAACUACAAUGAUUGCGACUGAUUGUGCAAGUUUGCGUCCGUGCUCCCACAUGUCAUACCACGCCAUGCGGAAUUGCCAAGUCACCAUAUUGGUUAAUGGCGUUUGUUGGUUAGUUGCUGGCUGAUGUGGCGUUGCCAGCCCGUGAGCUCUGAGCAAGCAAUCAAUGAUUCGGUUUGGCCUGCUAUACAUAUAUGCGCGCGCUCUCUUCCGCUACCGCUCAGCGCCUCCUCGGUUGUGACAUGACUUAGCUGGCAUGCUACGGCGUAUUAUAAUGUUAUGGCGUUGUGUGGAAUCGAUUCCAUUUCGGAUCCGGAUUCACAGCACUCACAUCGUUAUCGCAAUCGCGUUGACUCACAAAGACUUGUGGUUGGUUGGUUGCUUAGUUGGCUGUUGUUGACUGUAUAGCUGAGUGGCUGAAUGGUGGUUCACUGUGUGUGGAUGUAGUUCUAGCUGUGGCUCCGCGCUGUGUGCGACUUCGAGGCGUAUUCGGUCGGCGGCUACGAGCGCUGCUAUAGCUAUAAUGAUUGCUGCAUUCAUCGAGGCAGUCGUCAGCCUGAGUUUCGCCAGAUUCGUUGUUUCGACGACUCGUUGCCUGGUGCUGUUGCUAAUUGCCCAACGAAAAAAACUUGCCACCAUUUUCUCGACAAGAACCGGAUGGAUGAGCAGCUGGAGCAGCUGUUUAUUGAAAUAGAUUUGCUUUUGUUUCGCAAAUUCCUAAUCGAUUCCACUGUCAAUGGCACGCAUGGUUGCGUAAACCUUUUUUGGCUUGUGGGAAGGUUCUUAAAAUACAUAAAAUACACAAAUAAAGUAUGUACUACUUGUUUGCUAAAUUGAUAAGUGAUAACAUGUGCUGAGGUGGCUAGCCCUGGGUAGUAGUAAGCACGUACAACGCACAUACAUAUAUACAUACCUAGAAAUAUUUAGUCAAGCCGAUCAGACGAGGAUGCGACCUGCGUUUUACUAUAGAAACAUUACAACAACAAAGCCGGUAAUAGCUACAUGCACAAGAGUGCACAGCGCAGAACACGAAAACGGGAGGAACAAAAUACAAACAACGAAGGUGUGGGUAAAGUAAAUAGGAAAGAAAUAUUAUUUCCAUUAAAACUGCAUAUGUGCAUAAAAGAAAAAAAGAAAAUAGAGAAACGAAAACAACUUGGAGAUCGCUAAUUUGGAAGUCGUGGAAUAUAUACACAGAUGAUUGCUCCUGAUAAACACUGAAUAACCGUACGUGAAGCUACGGUUCCAUCACUAGCUAGCUGGACCGCCACCAUUGACAGUCAUUAAAAAGGUAGCUGAUGGCCGUCUGGCAAUGAUUACUUCGCUGUCUCUUUCUGGCCAGCGUCCGGCGCGCAUGGUAGAAGUGCCUCAAGUAUAUAAUAGUUGCCAUUUCCUUUGCAGACGUACUGUGCUGUGCUGGGAAUUGGCGGCACCCAUGGUUGUAUUGAAUGCACGGAAAUCGUGGUGGCUUCGUGGUUGUUGGCAAUUGCGUUCGUUCCGUAGCUGUUAUCGUCGUUGCUGUAUAUCGAUUUGCUCACCAUCUUGGUACUUUACUUUGUGUUUCAAAUGAAUUCAUGCUGAUAACCUGUGCAAUUUGAGAGUCCAUAUAAAAUAAUUAACGUUGGUAUUUAUUUGCAGCUGUUGUACAUACCAUGUGAAUAUGUAUGUAUGUUCGUCGCUAGUUGGAAUUCAACAACUACAUAAGUAGCUACUGGCUAAAAGAAUCGAGAGCUAGAGCGUUGGGUACAAGUUAAAAUCAUCAAAGCAACAGCACUACCUAGUGGAGUAACCAAGCAGUUUCACCUUGGGAGUUGCAUAACAUGUUUGAGCAGCUGCCAACUGCUACGAUUAUUAAGCACGAUUAAGUUUGGACUGUUGAUGAAAUCAUUUUUAGGUUAUGUGUUCCAUAGUCACAAGUUGGUGUUUUUCACUCCAUUUUCGUAUUGCUCGUUUGGGCAGGUAGUUGUUUCAUGUUGCAGUAUUUUACAAAUAUAUAAUACAUAUCGUACGCAAAU